Molecule: ribosomal RNA, 497 nt
Filed under: uncultured bacterium
Lineage: Bacteria
Description: partial 16S ribosomal RNA
Rfam family: Bacterial small subunit ribosomal RNA
Source: RNAcentral
GAUGAGCGCUGGCGGCGUGCCUAAUACAUGCAAGUCGAGCGAACAGACGAGGAGCUUACUCCUCUGACGUUAGCGGCGGACGGGUGAGUAACACGUGGAUAACCUACCUAUAAGACUGGGAUAACUUCGGGAAACCGGAGCUAAUACCGGAUAACAUGUUGAACCGCAUGGUUCAACAGUGAAAGACGGUCUUGCUGUCACUUAUAGAUGGAUCCGCGUCGCAUUAGCUAGUUGGUAAGGUAACGGCUUACCAAGGCAACGAUGCGUAGCCGACCUGAGAGGGUGAUCGGCCACACUGGAACUGAGACACGGUCCAGACUCCUACGGGAGGCAGCAGUAGGGAAUCUUCCGCAAUGGGCGAAAGCCUGACGGAGCAACGCCGCGUGAGUGAAGAAGGUCUUCGGAUCGUAAAACUCUGUUAUUAGGGAAGAACAAAUGUGUAAGUAACUAUGCACGUCUUGACGGUACCUAAUCAGAAAGCCACGGCUAACUACGUG